UGCAGUCGAGCGGUAGAGAGAAGCUUGCUUCUCUUGAGAGCGGCGGACGGGUGAGUAAUGCCUAGGAAUCUGCCUGGUAGUGGGGGAUAACGUUCGGAAACGGACGCUAAUACCGCAUACGUCCUACGGGAGAAAGCAGGGGACCUUCGGGCCUUGCGCUAUCAGAUGAGCCUAGGUCGGAUUAGCUAGUUGGUGAGGUAAUGGCUCACCAAGGCGACGAUCCGUAACUGGUCUGAGAGGAUGAUCAGUCACACUGGAACUGAGACACGGUCCAGACUCCUACGGGAGGCAGCAGUGGGGAAUAUUGGACAAUGGGCGAAAGCCUGAUCCAGCCAUGCCGCGUGUGUGAAGAAGGUCUUCGGAUUGUAAAGCACUUUAAGUUGGGAGGAAGGGCAGUUGCCUAAUACGUAACUGUUUUGACGUUACCGACAGAAUAAGCACCGGCUAACUCUGUGCCAGCAGCCGCGGUAAUACAGAGGGUGCAAGCGUUAAUCGGAAUUACUGGGCGUAAAGCGCGCGUAGGUGGUUUGUUAAGUUGGAUGCGAAAUCCCCGGGCUCAACCUGGGAACUGCAUUCAAAACUGACUGACUAGAGUAUGGUAGAG
This 604-nucleotide ribosomal RNA is filed under the name uncultured bacterium. RNAcentral describes it as "bacterial SSU rRNA". It matches the Rfam family "Bacterial small subunit ribosomal RNA", at positions 56 to 656 of the family's 1533-position model. The record is from RNAcentral.